GUGGGGGUGGCGGAAUGGCAGACGCGUAGGUUUCAGACGCCUAUGGGCAACCGUGUGAGUUCAAAUCUCAUCUCCCGCACCA
RNAcentral lists this transfer RNA (82 nucleotides) under Clostridia bacterium. RNAcentral's name for it is "tRNA-Leu". It matches the Rfam family "tRNA". Rfam says of the family: Transfer RNA (tRNA) molecules are approximately 80 nucleotides in length. Their secondary structure includes four short double-helical elements and three loops (D, anti-codon, and T loops). Further hydrogen bonds mediate the characteristic L-shaped molecular structure. tRNAs have two regions of fundamental functional importance: the anti-codon, which is responsible for specific mRNA codon recognition, and the 3' end, to which the tRNAs corresponding amino acid is attached (by aminoacyl-tRNA synthetases). tRNAs cope with the degeneracy of the genetic code in two manners: having more than one tRNA (with a specific anti-codon) for a particular amino acid; and 'wobble' base-pairing, i.e. permitting non-standard base-pairing at the 3rd anti-codon position. Lineage: Bacteria; Bacillati; Bacillota; Clostridia. The record is from RNAcentral.